This 1313-nucleotide ribosomal RNA is filed under the name Salmonella enterica. RNAcentral's name for it is "partial 23S ribosomal RNA". It matches the Rfam family "Bacterial large subunit ribosomal RNA", at positions 1638 to 2925 of the family's 2925-position model. Lineage: Bacteria; Pseudomonadati; Pseudomonadota; Gammaproteobacteria; Enterobacterales; Enterobacteriaceae. The record is from RNAcentral.
CAAAUCGUACCCCAAACCGACACAGGUGGUCAGGUAGAGAAUACCAAGGCGCUUGAGAGAACUCGGGUGAAGGAACUAGGCAAAAUGGUGCCGUAACUUCGGGAGAAGGCACGCUGACACGUAGGUGAAGUGAUUUACUCAUGGAGCUGAAGUCAGUCGAAGAUACCAGCUGGCUGCAACUGUUUAUUAAAAACACAGCACUGUGCAAACACGAAAGUGGACGUAUACGGUGUGACGCCUGCCCGGUGCCGGAAGGUUAAUUGAUGGGGUCAGCGCAAGCGAAGCUCCUGAUCGAAGCCCCGGUAAACGGCGGCCGUAACUAUAACGGUCCUAAGGUAGCGAAAUUCCUUGUCGGGUAAGUUCCGACCUGCACGAAUGGCGUAAUGAUGGCCAGGCUGUCUCCACCCGAGACUCAGUGAAAUUGAACUCGCUGUGAAGAUGCAGUGUACCCGCGGCAAGACGGAAAGACCCCGUGAACCUUUACUAUAGCUUGACACUGAACAUUGAGCCUUGAUGUGUAGGAUAGGUGGGAGGCUUUGAAGUGUGGACGCCAGUCUGCAUGGAGCCGGCCUUGAAAUACCACCCUUUAAUGUUUGAUGUUCUAACGUGGACCCGUGAUCCGGGUUGCGGACAGUGUCUGGUGGGUAGUUUGACUGGGGCGGUCUCCUCCUAAAGAGUAACGGAGGAGCACGAAGGUUGGCUAAUCCUGGUCGGACAUCAGGAGGUUAGUGCAAUGGCAUAAGCCAGCUUGACUGCGAGCGUGACGGCGCGAGCAGGUGCGAAAGCAGGUCAUAGUGAUCCGGUGGUUCUGAAUGGAAGGGCCAUCGCUCAACGGAUAAAAGGUACUCCGGGGAUAACAGGCUGAUACCGCCCAAGAGUUCAUAUCGACGGCGGUGUUUGGCACCUCGAUGUCGGCUCAUCACAUCCUGGGGCUGAAGUAGGUCCCAAGGGUAUGGCUGUUCGCCAUUUAAAGUGGUACGCGAGCUGGGUUUAGAACGUCGUGAGACAGUUCGGUCCCUAUCUGCCGUGGGCGCUGGAGAACUGAGGGGGGCUGCUCCUAGUACGAGAGGACCGGAGUGGACGCAUCACUGGUGUUCGGGUUGUCAUGCCAAUGGCACUGCCCGGUAGCUAAAUGCGGAAGAGAUAAGUGCUGAAAGCAUCUAAGCACGAAACUUGCCCCGAGAUGAGUUCUCCCUGAGACUUUAGGUCUCCUGAAGGAACGUUGAAGACGACGACGUUGAUAGGCCGGGUGUGUAAGCGCAGCGAUGCGUUGAGCUAACCGGUACUAAUGAACCGUGAGGCUUAACCUUACA